RNAcentral lists this ribosomal RNA (258 nucleotides) under Etroplus suratensis. RNAcentral describes it as "partial small subunit ribosomal RNA". It matches the Rfam family "Eukaryotic small subunit ribosomal RNA", at positions 260 to 522 of the family's 1831-position model. Lineage: Eukaryota; Metazoa; Chordata; Actinopteri; Cichliformes; Cichlidae. The record is from RNAcentral.
GAUCGCUGGCCCUCCGUGGCGGCGACGUCUCAUUCGAAUGUCUGCCCUAUCAACUUUCGAUGGUACUUUACGUGCCUACCAUGGUGACCACGGGUAACGGGGAAUCAGGGUUCGAUUCCGGAGAGGGAGCCUGAGAAACGGCUACCACAUCCAAGGAAGGCAGCAGGCGCGCAAAUUACCCACUCCCGACUCGGGGAGGUAGUGACGAAAAAUAACAAUACAGGACUCUUUCGAGGCCCUGUAAUUGGAAUGAGUACA